Molecule: ribosomal RNA, 378 nt
Filed under: uncultured bacterium
Lineage: Bacteria
Description: bacterial SSU rRNA
Rfam family: Bacterial small subunit ribosomal RNA
Source: RNAcentral
UAAAACGUAGGGGGCGAGCGUUGUCCGGAAUUACUGGGCGUAAAGGGCGCGUAGGUGGUGCAUUAAGUUAGAGGUGAAAGUGCGGGGCUUAACCCCGUGAGGCCUCUGAUACUGGUGGACUUGAGUGCAGGAGAGGGGAGCAGAAUUCCCAGUGUAGCGGUGAAAUGCGUAGAUAUUGGGAGGAAUACCAGUGGCGAAGGCGGCUCUCUGGACUGUAACUGACACUGAGGCGCGAAAGCGUGGGGAGCGAACAGGAUUAGAUACCCUGGUAGUCUACGCCGUAAACGAUGAGUGCUAGGUGUUGGGGGUAUCGACCCCCCCAGUGCCGUAGUUAACACAAUAAGCACUCCGCCUGGGGAGUACGGUCGCAAGACUGAA